This 292-nucleotide ribosomal RNA is filed under the name uncultured bacterium. RNAcentral describes it as "partial 16S ribosomal RNA". It matches the Rfam family "Bacterial small subunit ribosomal RNA", at positions 505 to 796 of the family's 1533-position model. The record is from RNAcentral.
GUGCCAGCCGCCGCGGUAAUACGUAGGGGGCGAGCGUUGUCCGGAUUUAUUGGGCGUAAAGCGCCUGCAGGCGGCAAGCCAAGUCGUGCGUGAAAUCUCUCGGCUCAACUGAGAGGGGUCGUGCGAGACUGGUUCGCUCGAGGCGGGUAGGGGGAAGCGGAAUUCCGGGUGUAGUGGUGGAAUGCGUAGAGAUCCGGAGGAACACCAGAGGCGAAGGCGGCUUCCUGGACCCGGCCUGACGCUCAGGGGCGAAAGCGUGGGGAGCGAUCCGGAUUAGAAACCCCCGUAGUCC